UUCUUUUAUUGCCCGAAUAGGAGAACGGAGCUGGAAAGCAGCUGAACUUAAGGCGAGAGGAAGAAGGUGACAGGCUGGAAGCAGCACUCUGAGGUCGUAGCUUGGCAAACACAUCUGGGAAGUGCAGCUUUUGCCUCGGGGUUUGCAACCGUUCCAUAACACAUGACCGAGAGAAGGCAAGACACUGCUGAAACUUAAGGUUGGUCAAGCAUUGUUGGAAUUCACCACGAAACUAGGAACUCACCCUUUUUGAUCCCACAGAAGGGUGUAAUUACCUUCACCUGAAUUCACCAACUGCCACUCCUCUCUGGAAGAGUCCUCUUCUGAAGAACAGCAGGAAUUGCAGGUACUGCCCUACCCAGGAAGAACCUAGGGGCUUUCACCUCCUUAAAAGAUGAAGAUGGAAGACACUUCAGAUGAGGAUGAGUCUACAAAGGCAUCCUGGGUCCUAAAGACAGAUGGUUCUUAAAAGGUACAGGGUUAGUGCCUACU
Molecule: long non-coding RNA, 492 nt
Organism: Thamnophis elegans (Western terrestrial garter snake)
Lineage: Eukaryota; Metazoa; Chordata; Lepidosauria; Squamata; Natricidae
Exons: 3
Source: RefSeq, a predicted model, not a curated record